This is a non-coding RNA of Cyanistes caeruleus (blue tit), 379 nucleotides long. NCBI's taxonomy places the organism in Eukaryota, Metazoa, Chordata, Aves, Passeriformes, Paridae. The record is from RefSeq and is a predicted model, not a curated record.
GGCAGCCCUUCCAGAAGAUCACCUGCACCACCCUCUGCCCAGUGGACGGCGCGUGGACGGAGUGGAGCAAGUGGUCGGCGUGCAGCACCGAGUGCACCCACUGGCGCAGCCGCGAGUGCGCGGCCCCCGCGCCCCGCAACGGCGGCAAGGACUGCAGCGGGGUGCUGCUGGACUCCAAAAACUGCACCGACGGCCUCUGCCUACACAAUAAAAGAAUUCUAAACGAGCCCAAAAGCCACCGUAAGUGCUCAUUUCAUGGCCAUUAUUUUUUGUUUUGUUUGUUCCUGUGUUUUUCUUCUGUUGAAUCCACGGCAGGGGUUCCCUGGCAGCUGGGCCAAGGACAGGGUGGGAAGAUGGAACAACUAAAGCCCAUUCCAAA